RNAcentral lists this long non-coding RNA (624 nucleotides) under Homo sapiens (human). Its description in RNAcentral is "non-protein coding lnc-TNFSF4-3:6". The record is from RNAcentral. Lineage: Eukaryota; Metazoa; Chordata; Mammalia; Primates; Hominidae.
GUACGCGCUUUAGGGAUGGAAGGAAGAGGAACGCGGCAGGAAGGCGAGCCCCAAGGUGGAGAAUCGCCUGGGCGCGCAGGCUGCGGCGGCUUCGCACAGCCGCCCUGGGCGCUGCACGGGUCCGCGCGCACCCUGCUGCGCACCCACUCGCGGCCAGCUCCCUACAGAGGAGUGGAGUGACUGCUCGACUACCACCCCUCUUUUAGUGUGAGCGUCUGGAGUCCUGACCGCCCCAGCCAGCCCAGCUACGAUGAACUGUCUAAGAGGAUGUGGCAAGACCCAGAAGUAUGGGUGACCUUAUGUCAGAGGAAGUGGCUUUCUUAUUGCAGCAAAAAUUCCCGUACCAAUGUCAGUGCUAGGUAUGAAAGUUUUCAAGACGCCUACAAGUGGAAAAUGCACUCCUCCCAGCCAAAUCAAGCUUCGCCAGAUUCCUUACAGCUGUGUGCAGUGAAAUGACUAAUGAAAGAGCCCUCUGCUGCUGGUGGAACUUUCACAUAUGGCACUGUUAUGCCACUCAGCAGGACCCGACCCUGGUAUUUACAUAUUGGAUGUCACCCCAAAAGCCCCUGACCAGGGGGUUUCCGGGAUGUAAUAAGAAUGCCACUCUGGGCUUUGGAAGGUGCA